Molecule: transfer RNA, 90 nt
Filed under: Yersinia nurmii
Lineage: Bacteria; Pseudomonadati; Pseudomonadota; Gammaproteobacteria; Enterobacterales; Yersiniaceae
Also listed under: 2 other names
Description: tRNA-Ser(cga)
Rfam family: tRNA
About the family: Transfer RNA (tRNA) molecules are approximately 80 nucleotides in length. Their secondary structure includes four short double-helical elements and three loops (D, anti-codon, and T loops).
Source: RNAcentral
GGAGAGAUGCCGGAGCGGCUGAACGGGACGGUCUCGAAAACCGUUGAGGGGGAAACCCCUCCGAGGGUUCAAAUCCCUCUCUCUCCGCCA